GCAAAAGUGUGAAGUGAUGUGUCAUCUAUAUAAAAGACAUGUAGGAGGAGAAUGAGAAAGAUUUUAUAUAAAGCUUAACAGAGAAUAUCUGAGAGAAUAUCAUGAAAGACUGCUGCUUUCUGAGUGGAGAAGAAACAUCUAUCAGAGAGUCAUCUGUGCUGGACUUCCUCCCUGGCAAGGGAGCAGAGAAGGAAUUACCCCUGUGGAGACUUCCAGACUGAGUCAUCUACUCUGGACAACUCCAAGGGCUCUGGAAGGCUGGUUCUUGGUCAGAGAACCACAGUAGUGAGUUGUGAAUGGGUUAGAGCCAGCAAUCGUGAUGAUUUCUUUGCAGAUUAUGGUUUUCUUGACCUUGGGACCCAACAAAACCUGUAAUCUUGUAGUGUGCAUGUGUGCAUGGAUGUCUAUUACCAGUUUUGCCACUCCCCAGUGUGGUCACAAGGAAAUCUUAUGCUAAAUUCUCUCAUUCAGCCACGUACAACCAACAGAAGUGAUGGGAAACUUCAUAUCACUUAUUGAACCAGAGGGGAAGGAGAGGAAUAGCAUCUCUGUCCUGUACCUAAUAUAGCCCAGCAUAGAUCCUGAUGGUCAGCUGCCUGUCUGGAGAAGUUAUUUUGGGAUCAAGAAGAAGGAAAAGGAGGAUGAGAAGCAAGAACAAUGUAUGACUGUUCUGGUUCCUUCAUUUAAAAAGGAAUUUCUGCGGUUCCCUUUCUCACUGAUCCUAGUUGUACAGGCAGUACAGGUUGUGUGAAUUGGGUCAAACCAUGGCUUCAAGGCUUUGCAAAUCUGUAUUAAGAUAUGCUGGCUUUAAUUCUAGCAAUAAGUUGAAAUUAUACUUACUAUAUAUUUCAUACAUCUCACCACAUAUUUCAUAAGUUUUGUAGGUUUAAAGUGUCUUAGACCUUAAUUUUUAACCAUAAACCUUAUCAUAAGCUAUAUGCUCCAAGACUGGUCUAAAAUUUGUUGUAGGUCUCCAUUUUGCAUACAUAUUUUCGGAAUUGGAAGAUAGGAAUAAUUUUAAGUUUGUUUGAAUAAUUGUAAUGGUGCAUAACUACAUAUACAACUAAUUUUAUAGGGUAUUUUGAGUUUGAUUUCUCCUCUCUUGUGUUUUGGGUUUUGAAAGAACAUUGUAGCAUCCUGUUUAGCUAUCUCCUUGCUUUCUUGUGUGGUAUUGAUUGACAGAUACAAGCUCAGUUUAGCAAAGUUUUUUUUUUUUUUUUUUUUUUCCCUUCCCUGGGAUCCCUGUCACCAUAGAGUACUAUAUUGAGCUUUUUAUCUCAGUUAGAGCAUUAAAAACUUCUGCUUUCAGGAAUUAAGCAUCAUAUUCACAAUUUCUUUAAUUAUUUUCCUAUUGGCUUUCUUUGAACAAAAGGAACUGCUGUGAUGGUCCAAGAUCAGAGUGAUAGAGAACAGAGGACAUUUUUUCCCCCUUUAGAUUACUUUUUGACAGCCUUUCUAUUUUUGUCACAUUGUUCAAUAUAUCAUUUUACUCACAUGAGAGAAAGCAGUUAUUGUGUUUUACUUGCCAAUGGUGCAGAAAAUGACUUAAAUGUUUUGCUUACUGAGCAUUCUUGAAGUUCUUCCUGAAUAUUAGGAACCUAUAAAAAGAGGUAUUACUUUUGAUUAGCACCAAGAGCUUUUUUUUUAAUUAUUAUUAUUUAUUUUAAUGUCUUUUAUGUGCAUCUAUUUUGGGUGCAAAUAAUUUAGAAUAGUGCCAUUAUUAAAGAAGAUGAGAGAUACUAUUGAUCAGAGAGACAUAUGCAUUAAAUAUUCUGGUGUCAAUAUGAACACAUGCUUAUUACAGAGACCUCUUGUUGGCAAGCUCAUUUUUAAAAAGUCAUUAUUAUAAAUUGCGUCGACUAGUCAGAUCAUAUAAAAUCUACUUGUACUGUAAUAUUCCAGAUGCUUGAUUACUGUUCUUCAAUGUAGCAAGUUGCCAGUUUCUCCCUCCUGAGAAUGUGUGACAGAUUGUAAUACAAUCUGUUGAUGUUCCUGAUUGAGCUAAAGUACAUCAUUGUCACCCAUGCUAAAAAGCUGGGACAUAUACUGCAAAUGUAUAAUUUUGUGAAAUAUAUGCUAGUGUUGUGUGUUCCAGAAAUUUCAAAUGGUACAAGACAAUGUACUUGAUCUGGUGAGGAGGAGGAUCAGAGGCAGAGGAAAACACAGCAGAUAAUUAUAGCAGCAAAAAUAGUGGAUAAGCUAAUUCUAUGAACAACACAGGUUAAAUUGUCUUUGGCAUGUGUGCUGGAGAUUGGAAAAGGGAGAAGCUAAAGGACCAAUACUUGUACUGGUCCCUACACUCCAUUUUCUCCUCUGAAAGGUCCAGGUGAAACAGCUAUCCCAACACAAAGUGAAUGGCAGAAAGGAAGGAAGGUCACACACUUGUGCUAUACCACCUCUGAGCUUUCAUAGAAAGGCAGAGACAUGGCACAGCGUCCUCAGUCCCUUUCUACACUCUGGUACAUGCAGGGAGGAAGAAGAGACUACAUACUGCUGGCUGAUGAUAU
This is a long non-coding RNA of Oxyura jamaicensis (ruddy duck), 2507 nucleotides long. RefSeq lists it as uncharacterized. The transcript is spliced from 3 exons. The record is from RefSeq and is a predicted model, not a curated record. NCBI's taxonomy places the organism in Eukaryota, Metazoa, Chordata, Aves, Anseriformes, Anatidae.